UGGGGAAUAUUGCACAAUGGGCGAAAGCCUGAUGCAGCGACGCCGCGUGAGGGAUGACGGCCUUCGGGUUGUAAACCUCUUUCAGUUCCGAAGAAGCGAAAGUGACGGUAGGAGCAGAAGAAGCACCGGCUAACUACGUGCCAGCAGCCGCGGUAAUACGUAGGGUGCGAGCGUUGUCCGGAAUUAUUGGGCGUAAAGAGCUUGUAGGCGGUUUGUCGCGUCUGCUGUGAAAACUCAGGGCUUAACCCUGAGCCUGCAGUGGGUACGGGCAGACUAGAGUGUGGUAGGGGAGACUGGAAUUCCUGGUGUAGCGGUGGAAUGCGCAGAUAUCAGGAGGAACACCGAUGGCGAAGGCAGGUCUCUGGGCCACUACUGACGCUGAGAAGCGAAAGCAUGGGGAGCGAACA
RNAcentral lists this ribosomal RNA (407 nucleotides) under uncultured Actinomycetales bacterium. Its description in RNAcentral is "bacterial SSU rRNA". It matches the Rfam family "Bacterial small subunit ribosomal RNA", at positions 355 to 774 of the family's 1533-position model. Lineage: Bacteria; Bacillati; Actinomycetota; Actinomycetes; Actinomycetales. The record is from RNAcentral.